This 426-nucleotide ribosomal RNA is filed under the name uncultured Opitutus sp. RNAcentral describes it as "partial 16S ribosomal RNA". It matches the Rfam family "Bacterial small subunit ribosomal RNA", at positions 355 to 774 of the family's 1533-position model. The record is from RNAcentral. Lineage: Bacteria; Pseudomonadati; Verrucomicrobiota; Opitutia; Opitutales; Opitutaceae.
UUUCGAAUCAUUCACAAUGGGCGAAAGCCUGAUGGUGCGACGCCGCGUGAGGGAUGAAGGUCUUCGGAUUGUAAACCUCUGUCACUGGGGAGAAAACGCUUUGAGUUAAUAGUUCAAAGCCUGAUUUAACCCGGAGAGGAAGCAGUGGCUAACUCUGUGCCAGCAGCCGCGGUAAUACAGAGACUGCAAGCGUUAUUCGGAUUCACUGGGCGUAAAGGGUGCGCAGGCGGCCGGGUGUGUCAGAUGUGAAAUCCCGAGGCUCAACCUCGGAACUGCGUCUGAAACUACUCGGCUAGAGUAUUGGAGAGGGUAACGGAAUUCACGGUGUAGCAGUGAAAUGCGUAGAUAUCGUGAGGAACACCAGAGGCGAAGGCGGUUACCUGGACAAUUACUGACGCUCAGGCACGAAAGCAUGGGGAGCAAAAG